AUGGCCAUAAAAAGUCCCCAUGUUCUCGUCGUGGAUGAUCCCAUACUGAUCGCCUUAAUUAUUGCAGCAACGGUCCUAAUCUAGUUCAACAUUCGAGUGGCUAUUUUGGAAGGAGCCAUGCAGGCCUUGAAAUACUUGGAUGAGGAACAUGAUGUGGACUUAAUUUUCACGAACUACAGCAUGCCAGAUAUGUCUGGUUAUGAUUUUGUUAAGGUAGUGAAGGAAUCACCUAGACUUAAGAACAUUCCAGUGGUCAUUAUAUGCACAGAUGUCAUCCCUGAAAGAAUCAUCAAGUGCUUGGAUGGAGGAGCAGGGGAUUGCAUUAUAAAGCCUCUCAAGGUUGAAGAUGUGCCUCACAUUUUAAGCUACACGUAA
Molecule: ribosomal RNA, 375 nt
Filed under: Triticum aestivum (bread wheat)
Lineage: Eukaryota; Viridiplantae; Streptophyta; Magnoliopsida; Poales; Poaceae
Description: partial small subunit ribosomal RNA
Source: RNAcentral